GUGGAGAUCAUUGAUACCAUGAAGAAUGGAGGACAUUCUGUGAAAACGGCGAUGGUAGUUUUUGAUGAUUGUUAUUUUUUUGCUUGUGAUUUUUCUCGUACUAGUUUCGAACAUUGUAGUAGCGGAGCGAACAAAGUUGCUCAUGAGUUUGUUAAGUUAGCUAGAUUUUCUUCAACUAACGAUUGGCUUGAGGAGCCUAUGAGCGAAAUUGUACUUCUCCUUACGGACGAUGUAACUAUUAGUAUUUCGAACUAA
This 255-nucleotide ribosomal RNA is filed under the name Triticum aestivum (bread wheat). RNAcentral describes it as "partial small subunit ribosomal RNA". The record is from RNAcentral. Lineage: Eukaryota; Viridiplantae; Streptophyta; Magnoliopsida; Poales; Poaceae.